UACGAAGGGAGCUAGCGUUGUUCGGAGUUACUGGGCGUAAAGGGCGCGUAGGCGGUUUCGUAAGUCAGGUGUGAAAGCCCUGGGCUCAACCCAGGAAUUGCGCUUGAGACUGCGAGGCUUGAAUUCGGGAGAGGUUGGUGGAAUUCCCAGUGUAGAGGUGAAAUUCGUAGAGAUUGGGAAGAACAUCCGUGGCGAAGGCGGCCAACUGGACCGACAUUGACGCUGAGGCGCGAAAGCGUGGGUAG
RNAcentral lists this ribosomal RNA (245 nucleotides) under uncultured bacterium. RNAcentral's name for it is "partial 16S ribosomal RNA". It matches the Rfam family "Bacterial small subunit ribosomal RNA", at positions 524 to 768 of the family's 1533-position model. The record is from RNAcentral.